Long non-coding RNA from Canis lupus familiaris (dog), 5035 nucleotides. RefSeq lists it as uncharacterized. Lineage: Eukaryota; Metazoa; Chordata; Mammalia; Carnivora; Canidae. The transcript has 14 exons. The record is from RefSeq and is a predicted model, not a curated record.
UGGCAACUCUUUAAAAUAAACCACCGAGGAGAAGGACGUUGUAGAUUUAAGUUGCCUGGUGUAUCAGCAAAGGACAGAGGUAGCUCCCUCUUCGCAUUCACUCUGCUGGGUUUUUCCUCACACAAGAAUAUCCACUUUUGGUUAGAACUGGAAGAGCCACUAGGUCUUUUCUCCACUGCUUUUCUCAUUCCUGCCAAAGUGUUUAUUGAAUCCCUAACUAAAACCACUUGUGCUCUUGAACUUUCCUCUCAGAAAAAAAAAAAAAAAAAAGCGAUUAUUGUUUCUUUCUCAGAGGGACACAAAGAGGGAUUACCACAGGAAAUCCAGGGAGGCUUUAGAAGAGGAGCUCGAGUUGAGAUGGAAGCCGGAAGCCCAGUCAGCCAACUGCCUCCACAGGACCUGGCAGCCGGGCAGACGUGAGAGGCUCUGUGCCACGGGGCCCCCAUGCGAACAGAAGAAUCUGGCGCACCAUCUUCCAGGCCUUCCAUUCCCUCAGCCCGAGUUCCUGGGAAUUCUACGAAUUGUUGCCUGUGGCAGUGACACUGAUUUGUAUCUGGGUAUGAACUUAAAUGAAAACGUGAAUUGAACUCAUUACUUGAUGAAGGAAACCCUGCCAAAUUUAACAGGAUGAGAUUCCAGCAGGGUGUAAGGUUUUAUGGGGCUGUGGUGAAAUACCUCAUAGAAAGGUUUCCAGUUCAUAAAACACUUUCAAAACAUGCUCGGCCCUUUUAAGUUGAGGGGACAUUAUCAUUUCUAUCUCUAGCGUUUCUCUGCAAAUGGAACUCAAAUAUCCUUUGGGUUGACUACACAGAGAACAGAAGAAAAGAACUGGAAGAAACUUGGACCAGAGAUCCUCUCCCUGGAAAGGUUUCUUUCUGGCGGGAUUAUGUGAGAACAAAUGACAUCAGAAAAUAGCACGUCGGGAUACUUAUGCCAGCUCCAUAUGGCCCGGCUUGCUUUCACAGCAAGAAGCAGAAGCUGAAGGAUUUUAUACCAGUCAGCCUGGGCAGAAAAUUACAGAGAAGAGGAGGUGAAGUCAGAAAAAUAAGAUAUGAGAAAGAAAGGCACAAUCCAAGAAUGAUUAGCACUGGACUGGAAAGAGUUUUGAGCUGAAACCUCAGAUUUUUUACCACUCAAGUUCUAAAAAGAGAGACAGUAGUAAUUUUGAAGAAAUGGUGGUGGGAAUUGCUUCAGCAAAAGCUGAAGUCAGUGAAGAAAGUAAGAGGAUUGCAAGGUUUCCUUGCUGGUUCUGCCAAUUGAAAUGCUUUUAUCGUGCUGCUGUUUGGCUAAUUUCCAUGGAGACUCCACCGUAUUUGGCUUUGCCUUUCUCUGCCUUUCAGAGGACUUGGAUCUAGACUGACCAUAGCAUCAGUGCAGGACAGUUCUGUCUCCAGUGUCCUGACCUUUUACAAUAUCUGCAAGCAUUUUGAAAUGAAUAUGGGAGGUUUGGAGAUUGGUUCUGUGAUUAUCUGCUGUUAAAGACUAGAAAUGAAGCUUCUCUUCCAUCUUCCUUUUCUGGCUGAAACAUGAAGGCUUGAGAAUACCCACCAGCUGGUCUAAGCAGAUAAUGGUGGUCUGUGUGGGGUGUUAAAGGCCAGGCAGCAGCAGUGACCUGGAGAUGACUUCAUUCUUCUGAGGUUUAUCAAAGGCUCCUGUCAGUCAAACUCAUGCUGGGAGACUGGGGGAUGGCCAUCUGGUUCCUUGUUCUUCAGAGAGGAGAAAGAAGAGCGAGGAGGUGAAAAAUCUCACUGUCAGUUCCGAGCCAGGUAGAAGGGCAAUGCACUUGGAGCUCCUAGCUGCAAAUGAAGCCAAUGCCCCGCAAAUACUUUUUGUUUUGAAGACAUUAAUAAGGGGGACGAAGAGAGGCUUAGCAGGUCAACCAUUCAGCUGCUGCCAACCUAUGUCACACCUACUCUGUAGUGUCCUGUCCCGAAAAUGGAGCUGUGCUUGUGUCUCCCUUAGGCUCCUAUCCCUUUUUGUCUUUGAUGCCAGAAAGACAUUAGAGUGAAGGUCGUGUAAAUAUGUGGCUCAGUCUCUAAGAGGCCAAAUGGACAUCUUUAAAAACCACCUGAGAAGAGAAUAAAAAGUUUAAGUUUGGCUUUCUGAAAGGAAAAAUAUACAUAUCAGCUGGAACACAGACUUGCCUAUUAUAAGGCAUGGUUUUCAACAUCCCAAGGCACAUGCAUCGGCACCUGCAGGAAGUACCACCAAACCAACAGGAACCAUGGAGGCCAUCCCAGGAAAUUGUGAACUCUGUGUUGAUACUGUUGUGAACCUAGCAGGGCAACGAUAGUGUUUGCCCUAGAUGGCACAUUCCAGGGGGAGAGCUGUCCUGAUGGCCUUCUACCUCUUUGCUCUCAAAUGUCUUCAAUGCCCUUUCCGUUGUAACCCUGAGGGGGAACCCUGUACCAACAUUUCCCAGACUUCUGGGCCAAGUUGCUUCGAGGAACUGUCAUUCUAUUUUCAACAGCACCUGCACCAUUCUCCAUUCCCACCAGCAAUGCACAAGGGUUUUCAGUUUCUCCAUGUCCUCACCAACAUUUGUCAGUUAUUGUUGGUUUUUCAUCAUUAUUAUUUUAAUAAUAGCCAUCCUAAGGAGUAUAAAGUGGUAUGUCAUUAUGGGUUUCAUUUGCAUUACCCUAAUGAUUAGUGAUGUUGAACAUGUUUUCUUGUGCUUAUUUGGCAUUUGUAUAUCUCCUUUGGAGAAAUAUUAAUUCAAGACCUCUGUUCAUUUUUAAUUAAGUUGUUUGUUUUUAGUUACUGUUGUCAUGGAGUUAGUUGGAGAAGUUCUUUACAUUACGAUAUUAACUCCUUAUUAAAUGUAUGAUUCACAAAUAAUUUCUUCCAUUCUGAGUCUCCCUCUUACUAUGUUCAUAGUGUCCAUAAAUGCACAAUUGUACAAUGUGCAAGAAAUCAUUGCCAAGUCCAAUAUCACAAAGCUUUUUUCAUAUAUUUGAAGAAUUAUAGAGUUUAACUCUUACAUUUGGUCUUUGAUCCAUUUUAUUAUUAUUAUUUUUUUUAACAUGGUGUAAAAUUAAGGUCCAACUUCAUUCUUUUACAUGUAGACAUCCAGUUUUCCCAAGAACAUUUAACUGUCUUUUACCUUUAAAAGAGAUACUCUUGUUGAAAAUUAUUUGAUUUUAUAUAUGAGGGUUUGUUUCCAGGCUCUAUUCUAUUCUAUUGGUCUAUAUGUCUAUCUUUAUGAUAUUAACAUACUGUUUUAAUUACUAUAGCUUGAAAUUUUGAAAUCAGCAAAUACGAAAGAACUUCCUCUUCUUUUUCAAGACCAUCUUGGCUAUGAAUCUUAAGAUGGCUUUUUCUAUGUCCUUGAAAAAUAAAGUUUGGAUUUGAUAGGAAUUGCAUUGAAUCUGAAGACUACCCUGGGUAGUAUCAACAUCUUAAGCAAAUUAAGCCUUCCAACCCAUGAACAUGGGUUGUCUUUCCAUUUAUCUGUGCCUUUUAGUUUCUUUCAAUGUUACUUCGUUUUCAGUGUACAAGUCUUUUACAAUCUUUGUUAAAGUUAUUCCUGAGCAUUUUGUUCUUUUUGAUGCUAUUAUAAAUUGCAUUGUUUUCUUAAUAUCUCAUUUAAUUUUUUUUUGUACAAAAAGAUGGUUUUGUUAAAGCACAUGAACAGGACCUUUCAAAUUGUUUAUUGUUGUAGCAUAGAAAUGCCACUAAUUUGGGAAUAAUGAUUGUGUACCACAAAACUUUGUUGAAUAUAGUUAUUAAUUCUAACAGUUGUAUGAAGGGUGCAAUGUUUAGAGUUAUCUAUAUUGCCUGUGAGCAGAGAUAAUUUUGCUCCUUUCUAUCUAAUUUGAAUGCCUUUUAUUUUAUUUUAUUUUAUUUUAUUUUAUUUUAUUUUAUUUUAUUUUAUUUCUUUCUUGCCUAACUGUUCUGGCUAGGACUUCCAGUAUAGUGUUGAAUAAAAGUGAUUAAAGCAGGCAUCUUUGUCUUUUUUCUGAUCUUAUACAAGAAACUUUCAGUCUUCUGAUUGAGUACUAUAUUAGUUGUGGAUUUUUUUAUACAUCGUUUUUAGUAUGCUGAGGUAAUUUGCUUCUGUUCCUAGUUUGUUGAGUAUUUGUUAUGAAAUGAUGUUAAAUUUUGUCAAAUGGCUUUUCUUUAUCAAUGAAGAUCAUCAUGUGUUUUUUGUCAUUCACUCUGUUAAUGUGAUGUGUUAAGUUUGUAAAUUAUUUUUCAUAUGUUGAACCAUCCUUGCAUUCUGGAAAUAAAUCCCACUUGGUCAGCAUAUAAUCCUUUUAAUAUGUGGUUGAAUUUGGUUUGCUAGUAUUUGUUGAGGGUUUUUUUUAUUAAUAUUCAUAGGAGAUGUUGAUCUAUAGUUUUCUUUGCUUGUAAUAUCAUUGUUUGGCUUUGGUAUCAGGGUAAUGCUGACCUCAUAAAGUGAGUAAGGAAAUGUUUGCUCCUUUUCAGUUUCUUGGAAGGAUUGGUAUUAUUUCUUUAAAUGUCUAGAAAAAUUCAUCAGUGAAGCUAUCUUAAAUUGAGCUUUUCUAUCUUGGAAGGUUUUGAUUACUGAUUCAAUCUCUUGAAUGUAUGAUUUUUUUUUAAAUACAAUUGUUCACAGCACUCUCUUACAAUCCUUUCUUACUUCUGUACAUAGGCAAUAAUGUCCCCUUUUUAUUUCUGAUUUUGAGCUUUGUCUCUUUUUUUCUUAGUAUAGUUGAAGUUUUGUCAAUUUUGUUUAUCUUUUUGAAAAACUACUUCUUGGUGUUGUUGAUUUUCUCUAUUAUUGGUUUGUUUGUUUGUUUUUUUAAAUGCCAGGGCCAUACUCCCAGGUGUUCUCCUUUAAUUCAGGGUGAGAUAGAGUUCAGAUAUCAGUAUUUUCUAAAAUCUUAGGUGAUAUUAUUGUGCAAACAUAUGAGAAUCACUGGUAUAAAAAAAUCCUUGAUUCCAGGGGUAUUUAAUGGCAUUUUCCUAAAUCAACAUAUAUGUUUAUAACAGGGAGGUUCUUGUACAAGAUAAUGGAAAAUAAUGCUAUUAUAUAGAAUUGGUCAAUAAAAAUGGUAAGUCAGAAUCUUAA